Long non-coding RNA from Salvelinus namaycush (lake trout), 245 nucleotides. RefSeq lists it as uncharacterized. The record is from RefSeq and is a predicted model, not a curated record. NCBI's taxonomy places the organism in Eukaryota, Metazoa, Chordata, Actinopteri, Salmoniformes, Salmonidae. The transcript is spliced from 3 exons.
AACAGAACUAGCCAAUAAAACAAACAUUUUAUUUAUUAGAUUCAUAUAUGUUAAUUAAAGUGUGUGGUUUUACCCUAAACAGGGGGAGAAAGGAAUGCUGGGGCCGGCAGGGGAGAUGGGGCAUCAAGGCCAAACUGGCCCCAGGGGUUAUAAGGGAUCAGCAGCAAAGCCAGGAAGACCCGGAUUUAUUGGACCCCCAGGACCUGUCGGGCAUGUGGGAGUAGCUGGACGGCCAGGCCCCAAGG